Molecule: ribosomal RNA, 947 nt
Filed under: uncultured bacterium
Lineage: Bacteria
Description: bacterial SSU rRNA
Rfam family: Bacterial small subunit ribosomal RNA
Source: RNAcentral
AGAGUUUGAUCCUGGCUCAGCCUGAACGCUGGCGGCGUGGCUAAGACAUGCAAGUCGAACGGGUGUAGCAAUACACCAGUGGCGGACGGGUGAGUAAUGUAUCGCUAACGUACCGCGGAGCCUGGGAUAGCCGGCCGAAAGGCCGGGUAAUACCAGAUGAGACCACGGGAGGGCAUCCUCCAGUGCUCAAAGCCGCAAGGCACUCUGUGAGCGGGCGAUAUCGUAUCAGCUAGUUGGUGAGGUAACGGCUUACCAAGGCGACGACGCGUAGCUGGUCUGAGAGGACGGCCAGCCACAUUGGGACUGAGACACUGCCCAGACUCCUACGGGGGGCUGCAGUAACGAAUCUUCCGCAAUGCACGAAAGUGUGACGGAGCGACGCCGCGUGGAGGACGAAGUCCUUCGGGAUGUAAACUCCUGUCAGGGGUUACCAAGUUCUGAGGAGCCCCAGAGGAAGGCACGGCUAACUCUGUGCCAGCAGCCGCGGUAAGACAGAGGUGCCGAGCGUUAGGCGGAAUCACUGGGCUUAAAGCGUGUGUAGGCGGAUGCCUAAGUACCUUGUGAAAUCCCACGGCUUAACCGUGGAACUGCUGGGUAUACUGGGUGUCUUGAGCCAACUAGGGGCUACCGGAACAGAUGGUGGAGCGGUGAAAUGCGUAGAUAUCAUCUGGAACGCCUGCGGUGAAAACGGGUAGCUGGGGUUGUGCUGACGCUGAGACACGAAAGCCAGGGGAGCGAACGGGAUUAGAUACCCCGGUAGUCCUGGCCCUAAACGAUGUCCACUAGGCCGCGGGAGCUCUGACGCUCUCGCGGCCGGAGCAAAGUGUUAAGUGGACCGCCUGGGAAGUACGGUCGCAAGGCUAAAACUCAAAGGAAUUGACGGGGGCUCACACAAGCGGUGGAGCAUGUGGUUUAAUUCGAAGCAACGCGCAGAACCUUACCUGGGC